Molecule: non-coding RNA, 1273 nt
Organism: Punica granatum (pomegranate)
Lineage: Eukaryota; Viridiplantae; Streptophyta; Magnoliopsida; Myrtales; Lythraceae
Source: RefSeq, a predicted model, not a curated record
UGGACACCGUUAAUUGCACUGUUGGUCGUCCCCUCAAGUGAAAAGGCUUCCCGCCCCUAAUUGCCCCAAAUGGCUGUUCGAUCAAACCCUAAUUGAGCUUGUUGCUUCCACUGCAAUCAUCAAAUUCACCCAAACCCCUCAAGAUUUCUGCAAUUGAGAGUGUCGCCCGUGAUCUUCUGAAGUUGCAAUCGUGGUUCUUGGUCGUUUUCCGGUGAGCAGCACCUGGGAUCAACCGCUGCAGAAGUUGGCUCGAGCGCUCGAAGGCUGAUCUACUGCGUUGCACAUGGGCAGGAGGCCAGUUCAAUUCCUGAUUUUUGGUCGUUUGUGCGGUUUUGGGUUGUUUUUUGGGGGUUUGCACAUGGUUGUUCAGGGAAACUCCUUGCCUUUCCUUCUCCUGUUACUAGCAAAUCAUGAGCUUAAUGUUGGAUAACCAAUUGCAUAUUUUCCUUGCAAAGUAAUAUAAAGGGCCCGAUAUUCCGAGUGAUGAUUUGGCAAAUACGUAACCUAGCCGGAUCGUGUGGCAUUGGUAUUGAUUGAUUGAAUGUGCUCGAACUUCUGAAUUCCAGAGAUAGAAAUGGACUUAUGAGGAAAAAAAAUAAGCAAGUUUAUCGAGAUUCUGUUUUCGUGCUUUUCUCCUGAUAAAUCUAUUGCCAUAAUGAAGAUUAAUGGAACUUUUUAUCUCUUCACGCAUUUCUCUUCACUGCCGUUUUCUCAAUGUACUUGCAAUUUCUAGGUGCGAGUGAAUGGACCUAAUGCAGCUCCGGUGUAUAAGUUCCUUAAAUCAAAUGCAAGUGGAUUUCUUGGUUCUAGAAUAAAAUGGAACUUCACCAAGUUCCUGGUCAACAAGGAAGGGCAAGUCAUCAAGCGCUAUGGUCCAACUACCUGCCCAUUAGCUAUUGAGGCGGACAUAAAGAAAGCAUUGGGAGACGGAUGAAGCACAUGAUUUUGCCAGAACAGAGCUUGAGUAAAAGAUGUGUUAAAAGCGACAAAGUGUGCAAGAGAGUUGUAAUUGCUGCUAGUUUGGUCAAACUCUCGUCUUGUUUUGUUUUGGUGUGGGGAUAUACCAGCUUGUCGCGGAGCUUUCGUACUCCGUGGUGUCUGUAUUAUAUGUAUAUCUCGUCUUGUCAGUCUUGGGAUGAUGAGUAGAAAGGCCUUUGUAUGAUUCUGUUUUCAAUUGAACACUGCGGAAUGGACUUAGGAUUUUGUCAGAAAUAAUGCUCUUGUUCAUAAAAUCAUCAGUAAGGAAACAGAAAAGAUCAAGUUUUUGUGCGUA